RNAcentral lists this long non-coding RNA (4444 nucleotides) under Homo sapiens (human). Its description in RNAcentral is "non-protein coding lnc-HMX1-5:1". The record is from RNAcentral. Lineage: Eukaryota; Metazoa; Chordata; Mammalia; Primates; Hominidae.
AGGAUAAGCGACGUUGGGGCAGGUCCUGGGGAGAGUCCAGGUUGGCGGUUCCUGGGGCGGGGCCAGGAUAGGGCGAUCCUGGAAGCUGGGCUUCGGAAGCGUGCAGCGCCUACCAUGUGCCUGACAAGGGAUAUGUAACGCUGUUGUUCCACACCAGAACCAAAUGAGCGCAAGAUCUGACAAAAAAAAAAGUCCCUGUAUCCUGAGAUGGAGUCACCUGAGAAUCCACAGCAAGUCCUAACCAGGGAUGGGUCUGGGUGAUUAAGGAAGAUUGGCUUCAGAACUGGGCCAGGGGCACUGCUUUGCUUUUGCUGUUUUGAUCAGCUCUCUGCCUGCAGGAGACGAGGAAAACCAAUGGGAACAGAAACUCCUAGAGGGCAGAGGCAUGCCUGCCAUCUUCAUCAUUGCAUUACCAUCACCCAACACUAUCAGGGGACCUGCCCUGAUAUUCAGAAUGAUGGCAGCAGCCCAUAUGGGGGGCCCGCCCAUGAUGCCAAUGAUGGGUCCUAAUACUCCUGGGAUGAUGCCAGUGGGACCUGCUCCUGGAAUGAGGCCGCCCCUAGGAGGCCACAUGCCCAUGAUUCCUAGGUACCCAAUGAUGAGAUCUCCUGCCCGUCUCAUGAUGGUGCCCAGUCAGCCCAGAAUGACUCGGCCAGACAGAUAAGGAUAGAGGGGAGGCCUCAUUGCAUCAGUGUUGUUUUCUUGUUGUUAUUGUUGUGUUUUUUUUUGUUUGUAAUGUUUUGCUUUAUUUUUGAGACAGAGUCUUCCUCUGUCGCCCAGGCUGGAGGGCAGUGGCAUGAUCUCAGCUCACUGAAACCUCCACCUCCCGGAUUCAAGCGAUUUCCCUGCCUCAGCCUCCUGAGUAGUGUGGGACUACAGGCGUGUGCACCAUGCCCGGCUAAUUUUUUUUUUAUUUUAGUAGAAACGGGGUUUCACCAUGUUGGCCAGGAUGGUCUCAAUCUCCUGACCUCGUGACCCGCUCGCCUCAGCCUCCGAAAGUGCUGGGAUUACAGGUGUGGGCCACUGCGCCUGGCCUAUAUGAAUUUUAUAUUUACCUGCUCCCUUCACCAGGAGAUCAUGCUGCUGUGAUAUCGGGUUUUCUUAACAGCAUAAGGAAGACUUGCCCCCUUGCCCUAUCAAAGAGAAUAGUUUUGGAAGGGAGAAGUGGGGCCAAAAAAGACGCAGUUUUCAUUUGUAUUGGGAAAUGUGAAAAUAAAAUUGCCAACUGCUUUAGUUAAAAACAAAAAAAAGAAAAGGAAACAAGAUGUGGGGCUGCCAUAUGCAAUACCGUGGAUUCUACAGAUCUUCUACUCUGGAGGCAAAUAUUAUCUUCGCUGAAGCCAGACCAACCUGACACAAAGGCCUUUUGGUUUUUUAAUGUGACUGUGUUUUAUUUUAGAAUGUGUAAUUCACUUUAGAAGGGCAAAGUACCUGUCUGGGGAAGACUAUUUAAUUUCCUGCAUUUAUUUAGAAUGCUGGCUGAUGUUAUUAUGAAGGGAAACAGCUCUAACAACUGAGUGUCCCCCACAUAGACACAGCUCAUGAGUUCAAGGGGCAAAGGAAUUGAACAGCAGCCUCCUAAUAGCCGGCCUUCUUUGUGAUGCGGAAAUAAUUAUCAGCAUGUAAAAGACUAUAUAUAUAUUCAACAAUUCUGACACCCUGCAAAAUUCAAAUCUACAACUGAUUUGCUUCCUGGGCUCCUGAAAACAACUUUGUCAAAAUUGUUCAGAAAUAUAAUCAGCCAAUCGUUGCCCCUUGGGGACGCAGGAUAAAGCAAGUCAGCCAUGACCAAUGUGGAGUCGGCCGUGCACAAUGACAUGCAGACUUGCAGGACAUCGAGUCCCUGCUAUGGUCCCUCCCCAGUCAGGCCCCCAUUGCCUGGGCUGCAGCCAGAAGCAUUCAGGCACAAGUGCAUUCAACAAAUACUUAUUUAAUUGUAUUGGUGGUUAGAGGGUUGCGAUUGAUUAAGGUACAUUAAUGGAUCCAUGUCCUCCCUGUAUCCAAGACUCUGCCAUUUGUCUCUGCAGUUCCUCCCACUGAAGAAUCGGAGUAUAUUUCUCCAGUCCCUAAUGUUGGGUUUUGAAUUGUGUCUAGCUUUGGCCACUGGAAUAUUAAUCUGUAUGACCAAAAACUUGGAAAGUGUGAAUUCAUUUGUGCUCGCUCACUCCUGCUAUCACCAUGAGAACAAGCCUAGGCCAGGCUGCUGCUUCCAGCAGAAGAUAAGAGACACCAAGAGCAAAGUCGAGCUUCCCAGACAUGCUCAUGCUAGACUGACCAAUCCUCAGCUGACCCAUAGAUCCAUGAAAAUAAAUGAUUGUUGUAUUAAGCCACUGAGAUUUGUAGUGACUUGUUAUGCAGCAUUUUGUGACAACAACUAACUGAUACAAGGGUCACUGUCCUUUAUCUCUGUAGAUUUUAACCAAUUUUUAAUAGCUAGAUGGAGAUCAUCUAGUUGCCUUUAUUUAUAAUGAAUAUGACUGUAGAGCUAGUUUGGCCUGACACUACCAGUAACCUACCCAGAAAUUCAGAAAUACUUUCUUCUCCAACCCGCCCCAACCAACCUAUUUUUUGUUUGUUUGUUUUUGGGUUCUCCCUCUUUGCCUAGGCUAGAGUACAAGUGUUACAGUCAGAGCUCACUGUAACCUCAAAAUCCUGGGCUCAAAUGAUCUUGCCCUUCAGCCUCCUAUGUAGCUAAGACUACAGACAUGUGCCACCAUGCCUGGCUAAUUUUUUUAUUCUUUGCAGAGAGAGGGUCUCACUAUAUUGCCCAAGUUGGUUUCAAACUCCUGGCCUCAAGCAGUCCUCCUGCCUCACCCUUCCAAAGUGCUAGGAUUAUAGGCAUGAGCCACCACACCCAGCCUCUUCUUCUUUUUAAAUAGAAACCUUAUUUUAUUCUGACAGUGGGUUGCUUUCUUUUUUCUUUUUUUAAGAAAAAGUUGGCCCAGCCCUAGGGAAUAAAUUUUGACUGCUCUAAACAGGGUUGGCCAACUAUAGACCAAGGGCCAAAUCUGGCCCUCUGACUGUAUAAAUUAAGUUUUACUGGAAUAAAUCCAGGUCCAUCGAUUUAUCCAUUGUCUACAUAUGCUUUUAGGCUACGAUGGCACCACUGCGUCACUACAACAGAGGUUAUCUAGACCAAAAGCCUAAAAUAUUACCGUUUGCCUCUUUAUGGAAAAAGUUUGCCAUUCCCUAGUCUAAGGUUUAGAUUCUGAGCUUAUCAUUUUAGCCUACCCCCACUUACCAGUGACUGGUUCAAAACAAGUCUGUGAUUCCAUUCUGACUGUUCUACUGAGGGAAUUCCCCCUUCUUCUCAUGCAGAGUUGAUGAGGGUAAGUUGUAUUAAUAGGACAUAUGCUUAGGUUUUCUGAAAAAUACUUUUAUCUAGAAAUGCAUAGGAAUAUGCUGGUGCCUGAAUGUACCAUCUGGGGGCCUGGAGAUUGACUCACCUGCCUCCAGAGCUAGUGCUCACACUUACUACUGAGAGACCUGAGGAAACGCCUGCCUACCCACCACCAGAACCUGCAUACGUCACCUGGAGAACUAGAGAUCAGACUGCCACACACACCACCCAGGAGCCCAGAGGUGCACCUGCCCACUUGGCCCAGUGCUGCCACUGCCAGCAAGCAAAGAAGCCACCUGGGAGCCCAGGGAUUGGCCCACGCAAACAGGCUAUCAUCAGUGUCCACAAACACUGCCCAUGGUCCCUAGUAUUGACACACCUGGUCCACCAGCACUACCACUGAUGCUGAAGGACAAGACUUCCUGGCAUCCCCAUCCUCAGCAAAGCCUCACCACAGCCUCCAAUAACAACUACAGUCUGGCCAAGUGUGGUGGCUCACGCCUGUAAUCCCAGCACUUUGAGAGGCCGAGGCGGGUAGAUCACGAGGUCAGAAGUUCGAGAGCAGCCUGGUCAACAUGGUGAAACCCCGUCCCUACUAAAAAUACAAAAAUUAGCUGCGCAUUGUAGCACGUGCCUAUAGUCCCAGCUACUCAGGAGGCUGAGGCAGGAGAAUUGCUUGAACCUGGGAGGCAGAAGUUGCAGUGAGCUGAGAUUGUGCCACUGCACUCCAGCCUGGUGACAGAGCUAGACUCCAUCUCAACAACCACAAAAAACAUACUGCAGUCUAAGCCACGGAAUGACUCACAGGCACCACUCAUGCCAAUUACAGCUGAAGGAAUCAUAUGCAGACUAUACCACUGUACCCACCCAGAAUCAAAGCCAAAGUGAGAUAUCCAAUGAACACUGUAGAUACAGCUAUAAGAAAAGGUCUUUCCCAUAUAAAAGCCAAUCCAUAAAAUUGGAAGAAAUGACUGUUAUCUCAGAGGCACAGAUAGUCACAUAAGGAUGCAAGAAAUAUGAAAAAGGAAACAUAACAUCUCCAAAGAAGCACAAUAAUUCUCCAGCAACAGAUCCAAUGAAAAGAAAAUCUAUGAAAUGCCUGAA